AAGCUGAAGAACGUAAGGGUGGAAAGGGACCGUUGUAGCCUCGAUAAUUUCCAACCCUAAACCCGCCUUGGUUUGGGUGAACAUCUGUUGAGGUCUUUUUCUAGUGUUUCCCUCGUGUGGUUAAAAAAAGAAAAACUAAUGCCCAACGAGUGCUGUCUCGCAAGAGGAGUAGAAGGUCGGGUUGGGUAUGCUUUAAUGUGUGCUAACAGCUACCAGAUCCUCGCUUCUUGGCCACCUAAUUUUUUUUUU
Molecule: non-coding RNA, 249 nt
Filed under: Gossypium thurberi
Lineage: Eukaryota; Viridiplantae; Streptophyta; Magnoliopsida; Malvales; Malvaceae
Source: RNAcentral